GACGAACGCUGGCGGCGUGCCUAAUACAUGCAAGUAGAACGCUGAAGGAGGAGCUUGCUUCUCUGGAUGAGUUGCGAACGGGUGAGUAACGCGUAGGUAACCUGCCUGGUAGCGGAGGAUAACUAUUGGAAACGAUAGCUAAUACCGCAUAAUAGCAGUUAUUGCAUGAUAACUGUUUGAAAGGUGCAAUUGCACCACUACCAGAUGGACCUGCGUUGUAUUAGCUAGUUGGUGGGGUAACGGCUCACCAAGGCGACGAUACAUAGCCGACCUGAGAGGGUGAUCGGCCACACUGGGACUGAGACACGGCCCAGACUCCUACGGGAGGCAGCAGUAGGGAAUCUUCGGCAAUGGACGGAAGUCUGACCGAGCAACGCCGCGUGAGUGAAGAAGGUUUUCGGAUCGUAAAGCUCUGUUGUAAGAGAAGAACGAGUGUGAGAGUGGAAAGUUCACACUGUGACGGUAGCUUACCAGAAAGGGACGGCUAACUACGUG
This 495-nucleotide ribosomal RNA is filed under the name uncultured bacterium. Its description in RNAcentral is "partial 16S ribosomal RNA". It matches the Rfam family "Bacterial small subunit ribosomal RNA", at positions 28 to 507 of the family's 1533-position model. The record is from RNAcentral.